RNAcentral lists this ribosomal RNA (468 nucleotides) under uncultured bacterium. RNAcentral's name for it is "partial 16S ribosomal RNA". It matches the Rfam family "Bacterial small subunit ribosomal RNA", at positions 28 to 507 of the family's 1533-position model. The record is from RNAcentral.
GACGAACGCUGGCGGCGUGCUUAACACAUGCAAGUCGAACGGAAAGGCCCUGCUUUUGUGGGGUGCUCGAGUGGCGAACGGGUGAGUAACACGUGAGUAACCUGCCCUUGUCUUUGGGAUAACUCCAGGAAACUGGGGCUAAUACCGGAUAGGAGCUCCUGCUGCACGGUGGGGGAUGGAAAGUUUCGGCGGUUGGGGAUGGACUCGCGGCUUAUCCGCUUGUUGGUGGGGUAGUGGCUUACCAAGGCUUUGACGGGUAGCCGGCCUGGGAGGGUGACCGGGCACAUUGGGGCUGAGAUACGGCGCAGGCUGCUACGGGAGGCAGCGGUGGGGAAUAUUGCGCAGUGGGCGGAAGCCUGAUGCAGCAACGCCGCGUGCGGGAUGACGGCCUUCGGGUUGUAAACCGCUUUCGCCGGUGACGAAGCGUGAGUGACGGUAAUGGGUAAAGAAGCACCGGCUAACUACGUG